AUGUUAUUAUAAUAUAAAAUAAUGGUUUCUAUUUAAAUAUCCUUUAAAAUAUAAUUUUCUAUCACUUCUUAACAAUUUAACACGUCCUUGCUGAAUAAAAGGUUUAAUUUCUUUCAAAAAAAAGAAAAUAGAAAUUUACCGACCCCAAACAUUUGAACAGUAGUGUAUAUUGUAAGAAAAGAUUUCUAUUUUAAAUAAAUGCUCUUCUUUUUUUACCUUUUUUUAUUCAUCAAAGAAUCCUGAGCAUCACAGCUUCUAAAAAAAUAUUUGGCUGUUGCCAACAUUGAUAAUUCUAAUAAUAAAUCAGCAUAUUAGAAUGAUUUCUGAAGGAUCAUGUGACACUUUAAACUGGAGUCAUGGGUGAUGGAAAUUCAGCUUUUCAUCACAGAAAUAAAUUAUAUUUUAAAGUAUAUUUAAAUGGAAACCAUUAUUUAUAUUCUAAUAACAUUUUGCAAGAUUACAGUUUUUUUUUCUGAAUUUUUGAUCAAAUAAAUGCAGCCUUGAUGAGCAGAAGAGACUUCUUUAAAAAAAACAUUACAAGUCUUACUGAUCCCAAACUUUUGAACAACAGAGGAAUCAAUUCUUGGAGUGGAAUCCUAUCAAUACCAGAACCAGGAAUCGGAAUUGGACUUGAUUCCAAAAAAAUUCAGAAUCGUACAGCCCUACCCUGAAGUGCCUUGAAACCAAGCGGCAACAUCCUGCUCUCUCUCAUGAAGCCAACACGAAAGUGACUUAAACUGUAAUUCAUCAACUGGCUGUUAGAGGCUGGCUGUACAGCAGAAGAAAAAUAAAUAAAUAAAAAAAAUAUAAAAAAAAAACUUUACAGCCUGAUUCAAAAAAUUAUUUUGGUCUAUAUAGCUAAUUUUGCCCUUCAUGACAACUGUAAGGGGGUGAAUUUUUGUAUAACUCAUCCGUUUUAAUUAUAUUAAGCCUUAAAGUUCUGCAUAAUUAAGGGCGUGGCCACUUGAGUAACAGGUGGAUUGCCACUGCUGACAAUGCCGUCACGUUAGGUGGGCGUGGUUUCAGCAACCAGCUCCUGCCUUUUUGUCCAUUUUUGACACACUGCCAAGAUGGCGAUGGCCCACUCCACCCACUAUGAGCUUCAAAACCGCUCUUUAGAAAACUACGGGUGAUGUCACGGACACUAUGUCCAUGUUUUUAUACAGUCUAUGCUUGAAACACGCAGCGUAUUCUAUGUGUUGACGUAAUUUCAACUGAAACAAUAAGACAGGUCGGGACCAUACUGUAUAAAAACAGGUCGAGAUGUUACGAGCAGCCCUGCCCCGUUUUUAAAAUAGUCAAUAACGUUUUGUUUAUGGGCCAAAGCCGUUGAGCUCUAUAAAGCUGCAUUUGACAGCCACAGUCUAAUAGAUUUCCCCCUAGAUUCAACAUGAAACUCUUAGUAAAACAAAAUAGUGAUCAUAAUCAUGCUGAGGCUGUGUAGUUUUAAAAGUGUUUA
Molecule: long non-coding RNA, 1459 nt
Organism: Cyprinus carpio carpio
Lineage: Eukaryota; Metazoa; Chordata; Actinopteri; Cypriniformes; Cyprinidae
Source: Ensembl